RNAcentral lists this transfer RNA (75 nucleotides) under Thalassiosira punctigera. RNAcentral's name for it is "tRNA-Ala". It matches the Rfam family "tRNA". Rfam says of the family: Transfer RNA (tRNA) molecules are approximately 80 nucleotides in length. Their secondary structure includes four short double-helical elements and three loops (D, anti-codon, and T loops). Further hydrogen bonds mediate the characteristic L-shaped molecular structure. tRNAs have two regions of fundamental functional importance: the anti-codon, which is responsible for specific mRNA codon recognition, and the 3' end, to which the tRNAs corresponding amino acid is attached (by aminoacyl-tRNA synthetases). tRNAs cope with the degeneracy of the genetic code in two manners: having more than one tRNA (with a specific anti-codon) for a particular amino acid; and 'wobble' base-pairing, i.e. permitting non-standard base-pairing at the 3rd anti-codon position. RNAcentral also lists the same sequence under 6 other names. The record is from RNAcentral. Lineage: Eukaryota; Bacillariophyta; Thalassiosirophyceae; Thalassiosirales; Thalassiosiraceae.
UGGGGGUAUAGCUCAGUUGGUAGAGCACCGCCUUUGCACGGCGGUUGUCAGCGGUUCGACUCCGCUUACCUCCAA